This 478-nucleotide ribosomal RNA is filed under the name uncultured bacterium. Its description in RNAcentral is "partial 16S ribosomal RNA". It matches the Rfam family "Bacterial small subunit ribosomal RNA", at positions 28 to 507 of the family's 1533-position model. The record is from RNAcentral.
GAUGAACGCUAGCGGCAGGCCUAACACAUGCAAGUCGAGGGAGAAGCCCUUUCGGGGGCAGAAACCGGCGCACGGGUGCGUAACGCGUAUGCAACCUACCUUUCACAUGGGGAUAGCCCGAAGAAAUUUGGAUUAAUACCCCAUAAUAUUAUUGGAUGGCAUCAUUUGAUAAUUAAAACUGCGGUGGUGAAAGAGGGGCAUGCGUCCUAUUAGCUAGUUGGAGUGGUAACGGCACCCCAAGGCUACGAUAGGUAGGGGUACUGAGAGGGAGAUCCCCCACACUGGUACUGGGACAGGGACCAGACUCCUACGGGAGGCAGCAGUGAGGAAUAUUGGUCAAUGGUCGGAAGACUGAACCAGCCAUGCCGCGUGCAGGAAGAAUGCCUUAUGGGUUGUAAACUGCUUUUAUAUGGGAAGAAUAAGGCGUACGUGUACGUUGAUGACGGUACCAUAUGAAUAAGCAUCGGCUAACUCCGUG